GCAUUCUUAGCUCAGUUAGAUAGAGCAACAACCUUCGAAGUUGAUGGUCACAGGUUCACCUGUAGGAUGCG
This 71-nucleotide transfer RNA is filed under the name Moerckia flotoviana. RNAcentral's name for it is "tRNA-Arg". It matches the Rfam family "tRNA". From Rfam's summary of the family: Transfer RNA (tRNA) molecules are approximately 80 nucleotides in length. Lineage: Eukaryota; Viridiplantae; Streptophyta; Jungermanniopsida; Pallaviciniales; Moerckiaceae. The record is from RNAcentral. RNAcentral also lists the same sequence under 1 other name.